RNAcentral lists this long non-coding RNA (25707 nucleotides) under Capsicum annuum. RNAcentral's name for it is "long non-coding RNA (CANN_LNC007922)". Lineage: Eukaryota; Viridiplantae; Streptophyta; Magnoliopsida; Solanales; Solanaceae. The record is from RNAcentral.
UGAUUUGGCUUUUACCAGUAGUUAUGUAUUAACCUUAUAUAUUUUAUAGUAAUAACAUUAUACGUUUUAAGAAUGGACAUUAUGAAUUUUAGGUAAUAACUCACAUAGAUAUAAUAUAUUUAUGAAUAUGUUAUUGUUUCUUAUACAACCCACUUAACAGUCAGCCUAUACAGAAGAAAUAACAAUUAUUUACAUAUUAUUUUUGUAAUACAUAUCAUGUUCUUUUACACAUAUACAUGACUCAUUUAUAUAUAUUAUUAUAGGACCAUAUUUUUUGAUACAUGUUGUUUCUAAUAAAAUAAUUAUGUUUUUUCAUUAUACAUUCGAAUACAUGCAAUUAAUCUCUUAUGUAAUAUGUUGUACUUAUAAAAGUGGCUUAUCAUUAAGCAUAUACAUACUAUCCAUAUGAGUAACACCCUUAUGCAUCACAUCAAACAUGUAUAAGUAACACAUGUUAUCAUUCAGCCGUUUCAAUUAUAUGCUUCGAAUCUAAGUGAACUUCACCAGCUUAUGGCAUAACUUCUUACGACGCGUAACUAAAAAAACUAGAGUUACAGAUAGUAAACGUCUAUAAAAUUUAAAUAUUAAGUAAAAGCAAAAAGAUUAACAAAUAAAUAGAAAUUAAGAUUAAUGAAACAAGUUUAAAUAUAUUCCAAAUUCAUUACAUCAUAAUGAAACUGUUUAUUGAAAAUUCAAAACUGUUCAAACUAAUAAAAAUGAAAAGAACGAGCCAAUAUCAUUGGUUCCUGAUAUGUAUAAAAAAAUGCAAUUUUCAAGUCUCCUUUGUAGAAAAAUCACAAAUGCAUCUGUUGUGACCUGCACGACUGCAUCUACUACAACAGUUUGAGCUUGAUGCAAAAGAUACACUUAAUUUUUUACACCUCCCUUUAUUUGACCUUCCUGGCAGUCAAGUGUAUUUUGGUAGUAAUACUUCUUCAUUUUUAAAUAAUUUAGGCACAUAUCAAUCCUUCAUAUCUAGCAUCGAAAUAAUUGAAAAUUCAGACGUCUUAACUAUAGAAUUGGAUUUGUAAUUUGAGCAAUAAGGAUCAAAGUCAUCUACAUUUCUAUUCAUCACCGCAAUUACGUGAGGAUAGAAAAUUUCAUAAAUUGAUACCAUCCACAAUUGCACAUUUCACGAUCAAGAUCGACAAUAUACCUUCUACCAGAUGUAAUAGCCUUAACCUGAUAAACAUACAAGGAACAAUACAUAUAAUAAAUUAACUGCAUCCUCAAGUAUUUUUUUCAAUAAAAUAAAUCUAUUAAUGAAAUUUUAUGUCAUACCAUCAUUCGUGAAGCUUUUGCACCAUUGAGAGUCAGAAUGUCCUCAAAUUUUUUUCCUAAGAUUUUUUUGGUAUACGAUGCAAUUUCCGUAUUUUUAGAGUUUCAUGCUCCAAAUAAAAUUCUUGCUUCUUCGAGAAAUUCUAAAAUAGGCAGUUCACAUGCCUCUACCAAGCAACCAUUUAUACAUUCAACAAUACUAGAAGUCAUCAUCUUACUUCUAUUUAUCAGUGAAUAACAUUGAGAUCAUUUUUCAUAACCAGCUUCUUCUAGGUAAUUAUUAAUUCUAUGACCCACCUUAGCAACCUUUACCAUAAGGUAAUCGAAAUGCUCUUUUCUAUAAGCUUUCGCCAUAGAAUAAUAAAGGACACUAAGUCUAUCGUUGUUUUUGCGAAAAUGAGUGCAGACGUUCUUCUACAAGUGUCAAAUACAUGCUAGAUGGAGGACAUUAGGAGACACAAUACUCACACUUUUUAUGAUGCUUUCAUUCCGAUUCGAUACAACAUAUAUGUUGUCCCGUUUCUGAAAUACAUCCCUAAACUGCUGAAAAAAUUAUAUUCACGAACAGUCAUUCUCAGAAUCUACAACCCUGUAAGUUAUUGACAAAAUACAACCUAAUUAAAAAAAAUAAAAAGAAAGUAACAAUAGACAUCAUGCUCUCCAACAAUAAUAACGUAUAAGAUAUAAUUAAAAUGAAAACACACACUGCCAAAAAUAUUGAAUAAUUUCCAAAGAUAUAAUCAAAGGAGUAACAAGUCUAACUAAUACCUUCACCAUCGAGUGUGUUUACCGAAAGGAAAGUUUCUUUGUACGGUUGCUCAAAUGAGCACCGUAAACCACUAUCACAGGUCUAUAAAAUUGAAAAUCCUGUCUCAUGGGAUGUAAUACAAUAAGCAAAUAAUUGAACUCAUUGUCCGCUGCCUUAUGCAUCCUAAUGUGAGAGUCAGGAUACACUGUGUUCAACAUAUGAAUGUAUCAUGUUAUUUUCGAUAUCCAUCAGCUGGACCACCUCUAAACAUUGCUAUUGCCCGCUCUUUUAUGUUAUGUCUACAUGUAAUUAAUAUCAACUCUAUAAACAACUUUCGUUUCUUCAAUUAUGUCGACUGGGUGUUAUUCUCUUACGAUUAAUUAACUUCGGCGCUAUAAAUUCACUCACAAAAACUGUUGUAGCCAACAAUUUUUUUAGAAUUCUAUCACUGACUCGACAAGUAUGUUAGGAAUCAAACUGCAAAAUCAUAAAAACAUUCAAUUUAUGUAGAGAAGAUGCCUUCAAAUUCAUUUGUAAUCUUCAUUACGACAAUGAAGUACAUAGCUGAAGCAAAUUUAAUCUGAAUAUUUAAUUUCAUAUAUAUCACAUAGACAUGUUUAAGUUUGUUUUUUAUCAACACUGUAUACAUUAACAGUUUCACAUACAUAACAACUUCAUGCAGGGCGAGCCCACGUGUAAUUUUGGGGUGCUUUGGCACCCACUAAACUUGAUGUGGAUUAGAUAUAAUUAUAUAAGAAACACAUAAUAAAUGAUAUAAUUUAUUAAAAAGCACCCAGAGAACAAACAUAUGGUUGGGUGCAGUGGCUUGAGGAUGUGACUUCUAUCUCUAGCUUUUCGAGUUCGAAUCCCUACAGCUACAUACUAUUUUUUAUAAAUUUUUUUGAGCACCCACAACCUUGAAUUCCUGGAUCUACCACUGACUUUAUGUAUAAGUAAGCCUUAUGAAUAACAGUAUUAAACCACGAAAAUGCAAUAUACAAAAUGUUUGAUGUAUAAGAAAGUCAUUAUACAAAGACAACUAGUUAUAAGAUCUAACAUAAAGGAAUACGUCAUCAACUUCUACAUACAUAACAACUUUAUUUUUUGAUAUUCCUUAUACAUAACAGAAUUAAACCAGUGCAAUCAUAUACAUAAUGUUUGAUGUAUAAGAAAGUCUUAACCAAAGGACAUCUAUAUAUAAAGUUUAUUUUUUUUUACAUAAAUGUAUUAUUCAGCGGGUUCCUCAUACAUAACAACUUUUCUUAAGAUGUUCAUUAGACACAAUAAGUUAAACCACUGCAAUCAUAUACAUAAUGCAAGAUUUACUAAAAACUUCAAAACACAAAGAGAUCUACAUACAAGGUUCAUAAAAAAAUGCAUCUAUCAGCUCAUGAAUAACACUGUCAAACAACUAAACAUAUUUUGCAAAUCAGCUUAAUGUGUAUGUUAAAAGAUUUAACGAAUAAAAAACAACAAUCUUAUCACAUGUUGCUAUGUAAACAAUUUCGUAUCAUACCUCACUUUAUUAGAACGUUUAGCUCUGAAAUUAAAGUCAUUCGCUAAUGCGUAUUUCACCAUUACAGCAACUAGAGUUGUUUUAUCCUUAUAAAGUUGUUCAACCUUUAUUUCUGUAUUCUUGCUAUCAGUAAUGAAAUUUUUUACUUCAAACUCUAAUAUAUAUAUAUAUAUAUAUAUAUAAAACAAAUACUGAUUUUAUGAUUCUACAACGGACAGAGCAAGAGCGUCAGUUUAUGUUCCUUCAACACUAGCUCCAUUUUAACGGUCAAACUGUAACUCUUCUUUUGACUUAUUCAAUGUUGAUAUGCACAAAGAAUAAGUUACAAAUCCUAAAAAACUUUUCUUUAACUCUACAUACACCCUCACUCCAUUAUCAUAAUAAUAGGUGAAGAAUUAUCUUCCACGACAUAACUGACAUCUAUUUUUUUCUAGAUUCAUCAAUAUCUAGUUCUGAUACAAUCGUCGAGAUCAACCUAAAAAAAUGAGAUACUUUCUGCAACAACAAUACCAUCACUUUUUUAGAGUUCAUAUAUUAUUUCGAUUGUCAAAUACCGAAAUGCCUUAACAAAAUUGUGAUGUUCAUAUUGUUGUUAGAUUUUGACGAAAAAUAAAGCUUUAACAACAUGAAGAACAAUUGAUCGGGAAUACAGAUUGAUAAUGCCUUAAAUGUCAUUAUCCAUCAGAUUGAUCUUAUAGAUAGAAGAGAUAAUGCUAUUAAUCUUUUUUGUAAAUGUCAUAAAUGUCAUUAUCCAACAAUACCAUCACUUUUUUAGAGUUCAUCCUUUGAUAUCAAGGAAUGCUAUUAAUCUUUUUUUGUAAUUUUUUGAGAUUUUUUUUUUUAAAUUCUCAUUUAUAAAUUUAUAAAAUACUAUCAAUUAAUGAUACUAAAUAAUUUAUAGAAUAUUAAAGAUAAUGAAAUUUAAUUUCUUUUAUCAUCAAUGAUAUUAAUUCUUUUUCUAAAACUUUUUGAAUUUCUUGAUUUACAUUGCAUAUUUUUCUUUCUCCAAUUUCGUAAUCAAUGUUAUAUAUACCAUUUUCUUAAAUAAUUUUUUUUUUAUAAAAAAAAAAAUUAAAUUUAUAUCUAUAUAAAUCUAUAUAUCUUUAUAGAAUUUGGAUAUAGACAUGUUGACGUGAUGUCUUUUAUGAAUCCAUUUAGUUAGGAGUUUACUACUGAAGUGAAUUAACAUGCAAAAAUUUGACAAAAAAAAGAGAAAAAUGUUGAUCUCUACUUCUCCCUUAACUGCAACUUACAUCUCAUUUAAACCCAUUAAACUUCUUUAAUUGCGUACUAAAUAAUCCAGUUAACCAUAAAUAUAUUCUUCUUUUGCCAAAUUCAGAACAAGGGUAGAAGGUAAAUGUAUUGUUAUGUCUUGAUUUGCAAUUAAAGAGGCAACUAAACAAUUUAAACAUAAAUGAUAUCUUUUAUUGCAAUUUAUAUAUAAUAUAAAGCAUGGUUAUAGAAAAGGUGAUGUGGCGCCUCUCUAUGGUCUCCAUUUAUAUUUAUUUUUUUCUCAAUUUUGGGGAUUUUUUUUCUCUUUAUUAUUUAUUUAUUUUAUUUCAAAUAGUCUAAAAUAAAUUUAGAUUCAAUCAAUCAACUUUUUUUUUUCACCUCCUAUUAUGAUUAUCCUCUUAAUUAGAUACCUUAAUAUGCAUUCAUGUAUAGUCUUUGGGUAUCCUUUUCAUCACUUUUAUAACAUGCACAUGUAUAAAACAUUUCAUGAUCACUCUUCAUUAUUUUCCCCUAUAAAAUGUUACUAUAUGCUUUGAUUGUUCUUUGUAGGAUAUAUAAAAAGACAUACUGGAGGAAUAAAAAUAGAUCAAUGGAAGGUGAGGAAAAAGAGAAAUGGCUCGUAAGUAAAAUUAUAGAAAUCAACUUUAACAUGUUAUCUGCUAUUGUAAUUUUUUUUCCCUUUUUACUAUUUCUACUACAAUUGUUUACUAGAUUAUUUACGAUUUUCUUUUCUGUUUGUUGAGGGUAUUAUGAUUUGAAGAUGAUAUAGCAUAGAGAGUUGUGUAUGUAAUAUGUACUAUUUUCUUUAGGCCCUAUUUUGUUGAAGUUUCUUUUUGACGUUCCUACUGUACUGAUCUAUUAAAAAUAAUGUAAGGUGGGGGCACAUUCUUCAAAAGACAGAUAAGGAGAAUUGAUUCUGAGUUUCUAUCAAUUUGGUACAAAAAUCAACUUUAAAUUUAUUUGAGAUUUGCAAAUCAACAUUUUUAAUCGUUUCUUAAUAUUUAUUUUGAUGCAAGCAAAUAUUCAUAUUCGUUAGAGUUUAUCAAGAUUAUAUUGCUUCUACAAUUUUUUAUUGGGAAGCAUAGAAUUGAAAUAUGAACAUUUUUAGAGCCCGUUUGGAUAAGAUUAAAAAAAUAGCUUUUUCGCUUAAGUGAUUAAAAGCUUAAAAUAAGUGCUUAUAAAUUAAGCAGAUAAGUGUUUGGAUAAAGUUGUUGAAACUGGAAAAAAGUUGUUCAUGCGUCUGGUAAACAAAUGAUGUUAAUCACUUUUUUGUUGUUAAAAUGACUUAAAUGUCCUUAAAGUUGUUAACACCAUAAAUAAGGUAAAUUAUUUAUAAUUUUUAAUUUUAAAAUAAAUUUUUUGAACAAACCUCCGAUUAAUGAUGGAUUUGAUGAAAACAAAGAAGAAAGAUGAAGAGGAAAUUGGAGGAAAAAAAUGAAGCAAAGCGGCAAAGAGAAAAAAAAACUAUAUAUUUAAGGGCUACAAUUUUAGGAUAUUGUUGGAAUUGAAGGAAAAUAGAAGGGAUAAAAAGAUAAAUAUUUUGGUCAAACCUAAAAGAAUUUUAAUCUAAAAAGCAAAAAGUUGGGGUACCAACUUCUCACAUUUUGGUUCUUUUAAUCAGUUUUUAGCUUUUUUUAAACACUUUUUAGUUUUACCAAACACCUUUAAAAACUAAAAAAAGGAUUAAAAGCUGAUUUGACCAGAUUUUAAUCCUAUUCAACCGGGCUCUUACGCUAAUUUCUGAUCUUCUUUAAUUUUCAGAUUCAAAAGACAAAAAGUUUCAGAUUUGUUUAGAAGUAUCAUUUAUCUAUUCAUUACUUUAUUCAUGUAUCAGUUGGAGAUACUGCCAUAUUAUCUUAAUUUAUCUAAUAUAAUUUUGUGUGAUGUACGAUAAUUAUUGUUCAUUAUUCUUUGUUUCUUUCUCUUUAGAAUGUAAGACCAGUUUAGUUUUUAAUCACAGAUGAAUUAGAUAGGAUUCUUCAUAUAAACUUUUGAAGUGUGCUCUUUUUAUUUUGUGCUGAAUUCAUAUGAAAUAGCAACUACCUAACCAUUUAAAGAUAAAUAAAAUAAUUUUUUUGUUCUAAAAUUAAGUACGUCCAAAAAUAGAGGUUACUCCAUAUUUAUGAUUUAAUAAAACUCAACAUUUUAAAAAAAUUUAUGAAAAUAAUGAAAUAUAUUUUCAUAAUGAAAUAAAAUUACCACAAUGAGAUAUGUUAAAAUCCACACUAAAAUAAAUUGAAGUCCAAGAUUUUAAAAAAUAUUUAUUGAAUUGCAAAAGCAAACUUCUUUUACUCAUGUAAAAACUAGAGAUUAAAGAACUUAUAAAUAACUUUGAUAUAAUAUAAAAUCAGAAAAUAGAGAAGUGAUACGUCACCUUACAUAGUAGGAGUUCUAUUGUUCCUUUUUUAAUCUUUCUUUUUAAAAUUGAUGCUCUUCUUCAAAUUUAUGAUAAUUUUUUUUUUUAAAUACAUGCUACUAUUGAAAAGUCUAAAGACUACCUUAGGUCUCUACAUAAUUACCCUUUAAUAAUUUUUAUAACUCCUCAAGAGUUAAAUGAUAUUCAUUAUUUAUUAUUUAAUCACAAUUAAGUUUUUAUUCUUUGACAAUUAAAAUAAUUUAAAAAUAGUGACAUAAUCUUAUAAUGAUUUGUUUGUUGAAAUAUUAAUAUUAAUGUUCUUCAAUACUAUUAUUAUGAAUUUGUAAUUUUAUUUCUAUUUGAUUAGAAAAUAGACAAGUUAUUAUUUGCUUUGUAUUAUUAUUGACAUGUUUGUGUUGUUUAGAAAAGUGAUGUGACAUCUCUUAAUUUAUGGUGAAUUUCAAAAAAAAAGAUACAUGUCACAAUUGAAAAGUCUAAAAACUACCUCAUUAAUCUCUACAUAAUCAUCCUUUAAUUAUUUUUAUAACUCCUUAAUAGUUAAAUGAUAUUUAUUACUAUUUAUUAUUUAACCACUAUUACUUUUUGGUCCUUUGAUAAUUAAAAUAUUUAGAAAUGGUGAUAUAAUUUUGUAACGAAUUUUUUAUUGGGAUAUUAAUAUCGAUGUUAUUCAACAUUAUUAUUACGGUCUUGUAAUUUUGUUUUAAAUUUGGUUAAAAAAUAGAUAAGUUAUUAUUUACUUUGUAUAAUUGUUGACAUGUUUUUGUUGUUUUUCAUAUUUUAACUUGCAUAUAAUUUAAAAAAAAAUAAAAAACUUUUAUGAGAAUAUUAUGUAUCUAAUUUGUAUAAUCUUGUGUUAAAUGGACCAUAUGGAGGACCAAUAUAAAAAAAAAAAGAAAAAAAAUUUAGUAGUUCCUCAUAUAAAAUGACUGAGUUUCGAGAUAUAAUUUAAGGAAAAAUAUCUUUUUUUCUCCACAAACCUUUAUGCGGUUUGCAUAGGCUUAUGCAUAUUUGUUCUUAUUAUGAAGUCUUUCUCUUAUUAUAAAAUUCUCUCUUCAAUUAAUAUUUAUAUAUUUUGAGACUUACCAUAAUUUAAGCAUGUGAUUUUUCAAAAAUUAAAUAGUAUUGAGUGAUUGAAUAAAAAUUUGUGGUGCAUGAAUUCCCAUGAUAUGUCUACAUCAUCUAUUAAAAUAAAUUGUAAACAAUGUAAUGAAUUUAACACAUUAAAUUAAAUUUCUCUGAAUUUAAAAAAUUAAAAGAAGUCUUAACACAUUCUUUAAACUUGGAUUUCACAAAUUUUAUAUAUUUAAUAAAUGAUAUUAUUGUUGUGCAAAGAGCGGUCCAUUUCACUAGUUAACUAAUAAAAAGAAGUAUAAAUUUUAGACGUUAGAUGAAAGCAUAUAAUCCGAAGGUCAGUUGAAGAAUCAUUGCAAGAGAAAUUUUUUGUCUCAGGUAAAUCAAAAAAUUAAAAUUUUUAAUAUAUUUUUAUAAAUGGAUUCGUUGGCAUAUAUUUGUGUGAAUUUAAUAUUUCAUGUUAAUUUAGGUAUUAGAGAAAAGCACAUAAUCUGAAGAUCAGUUGAAGAAUCAUUGCAAGAGAAUUUUUUUGCCUCAGGUAAAUCGAAAAUUAAAAUUUUUGUAUGUUUGUAUUAAUGGAUUCAUUAGCGUGGAUAUAUUAUUUUAUGUCAAUAGAAAUUAUUUAAAGAUCUAACAAAAUAAGAACUAAAUUAUGAUUUUUAAGAAGCUCAAUAUACCGAUAAUUUUUUGUGACCAUGACCAUGACCAUGACGGCUACUAUGAAGUGUAAGUUCGGCGGUCACUAUAAAGUGUAAGUUCUUUUUUCUACUUUUAAAUGUAUGCCAAGAUCGAAAUCAAUUUGUGAACCAUAAGAAUAGUGGCCACUAUGAAGUGUAAGUUCUUUUCUUUUUUUAACUCUUGAUUUACGAAGGAUGAGUAUGUUAUAUUAAAAUGAUCGAGGAGCUAUUAAAAUAUACAAAAUUUAGAAAUUUUUUAAAGUAAAGAAUAAAUUAAAUGUAAUAAUUGGAAAAGAAUGAGAAGACAAAUUACAAAAUCAAAGAAAAAAGAUAUUGAAUAACAAGAAAGGAAAUACAAAGGAAAAGGAAUAAUGGGAAGAAAAAGAAAUUAAAGGAGAAAGAAAAUUCUAAAAGUACUAAGCAAAUAAUGAAACAUAAAAAAAAAUGAAAUGAAAUGUUAUAAUGUAGAUAUCUUAAGUUACGUUACUUUUAGUUUCUUUUUAAUCAUUUCUCUUUUUAUUUCUUUAUUUGACAUCUAAAACAGAAAAAAAAACUAUGAAUAUAUAUACCGAAAGAUCGAAAUUGAUUUGUUUACAUAAAUAAAUUCAUUAAAAUAUAUCUGUAUCAAUGAAUUUGAUCUUUUUAUACUUGUGAAUAUAAUAUUUUCUUCAAAUUUCUAAACCUUAGUUUGCCUAUUCAGAGAAAAUAGGAAUCCUACUUUUAACUAUACGUAUUGACAAUCGGAAUCAAUGGCCUUGGCUGUCGCUGGCCAGCCUUCGGUGACGAAGAUUGGUCAAGAUGAUACAACAUUAACAAAACCCACUUUUGCAAACAUUCUACAAUCAGCUACCAUUCCUAACAUGCAGCUUCCAUUGAAAGAAAUAUCCUAUUUGCAUGGAGAACCACAUAUUAUUUGGGAAGAAGAGAAGGUCAAUCAAAUGAUUAUUAAGGAAGAUCUACAAUAUGCAGUAAUUGACAAAUUCUCCUAUGGUUGGCCUAAUAUUCAAGAUCUACGACGCUUAAUCCCAAAGCAAUAUGAGUUGAAGGGAGAAGUCAAUAUUGAUCUAUUUAGUAAUCGACAUAUGUUAAUAAGAGCAACGAAGAUUGAGGAUUAUGUACACCUCUUAUCCAAACCCCAAUUCUAUAUUACAAAGAAUUAUUGGUCAUAUCUGAUGCAAACUUUGAAAUGGGAUCCAAUGUUCAACCCUGAGGAAGAAACCACUACUGCAGUGGCAUGGCUAUCAUUUCCAUCUCUAUCACCGAAUUUUUUUACAAGAGAGGCAAUCUUUUCUUCGACAGCUACUGUUGGGAAGCCUUUAUAGGUAGAUCUAGCUACACAGAACAAGACUAGACCAAGUUGCGCAAGAGUGAAGGUGAAAGUUGAUCUGCUAGGAGAAUUUCCUGAAAGGAUUACUAGUGGGAUGAGAAAGAAAACCAGAGAAGUUGUAGAGAAGUGGAUUCAUAUCAAAUAUGAUUAUGUGCCCAAGUACUGUAAGGAAUGCAAAUUACAAGGACAUAAUGAGAACGAAUGUUUUGUCAUUUAUCUUGAAUUAUAUCCAAAGAAGGACAAUUAAGAGGGGGAAGAACACGAUACUAUGAAAUCAUAGAAGGGUGAUUAGAAGAAUAAGGAAAAGGUGGCAGACAACAGUAAAGGCAAAGACACGAAAACACAAGAAUUUCAUAAACAAAAGAGAAAAUAGUUGAAAAGAAGAUGGAACAAUAGAAAGAGGUAAGAAAGAAGACGGAACCAGAAAGAAAACACUUCAAAAGAGGUGGAUGUUUCAGUAAAUAAUAAAUUUGAUGCUUUGGAAGAGAAAGAUGUUGAUGAUGACAGAGAUAUCAACAGACCAGAAUGAUGGAAAAAAUGACAAAGUACUUAACAUUUAGGAAGAACAACGCACAACCAGUAAGGAUGGUAAAAAAGGACAGAUACAAGAAGAGUCACAAAGCUUGGUUAAAGAUCAGGAAAAAGACAAUGUUGAACAGCGGACAGGUGAUUCGGCUAGAAUUCAAGAUGCAGAAGAGAUUGCUGAUGUGGAUUGUAAAGAUCAUGAUGUAGAAGUGGCAGACAAUGAAUUGCAGAUCAUAGCUGAGUUUGAAGAUGAGGUUCUUAAAAUAACACAGAAAGAGAAACAACAGAAACAUGAUCACGAAGAAGAUGUAGAUAUGGAUGCUAACAUUGAACAAAUAGGGAGGGAUAGAGAUUUAUCUCUAAUACAAAUUAGUCAGUUGAAAGGGAAGAACAGAAAAGUUUAUAAGAAAACUGGUAACAAGUCACAAAUCAAUACAAGGAGUAAGUCGGGUCUUGUUAAAACUCAAAGUUCAUUUGAGAGAUUAAUAAAUCUUCAUAAAAAAUACCAUUAUUCUUACAUUGCAUUAUUAGAAUCUUUUCAAAGUCCAUCAGAGUUGGAGGAGUACAGAAGCAGGCCAGGGCUUACACAUGCUAAAGUAAAUUGUUCUGAUAAGAUCUGGAUCUUUUGAAAAAUAAUUGGGAAGAAAUUGGUACCAUAGAUUCUACACAACAUUUAAAAAUGGAGUAUAAACUUAGAGGACCAACUAAUUCUUUUAAAGUAACUGUAGUGUAUGCAAGAUACAGUCACUUAAAGAGAUUAGAGUGGUGAUCUUGGGCAUAUUUAUAUGCUCAAAUCACCAAUAUGCACACAUAUUUAGACUUAGUUCAAGAACUUUUGUAUGAAUUCUUAAGUAUAAUUUAGCCUUUAUUCCGUUUCGUGCCUAAUGGAUAUGAUUAGUACUUUCAGGUAAAAAAUUAUUGAAGAAUUGUGCGCAUUUGGAUACAACGAUGAUAUGGAAGGAUUGAAGAAAUGUAAGGGAGUGAAAUAAAGGUAAAAUACGGAAGAUGGAAAGUAAGAAUCCUCAUUUGAAGACACUCCACGUCGUGUUGACCAACAAAAUAGCAAUGGUCAAAUUCCAGUGAAGGUCCGCAAAACCACCGCAUCCCAGAGUAGUUCCACUUAUCAUAUUUUGCGACCUAAAAGUUUAGCACAUCGCGAAGGAUGAAUAUUUUACAAUUUUCCCAAUCCAGUGGCUCACCGCGAUAGUGGUGCGUUGCGGUGAGGAUACAUUUUACAAUUGUCAAGGAAUACUUGAGCUCCGCGAUUGCCUAGAUUUUAAUGAAAAAUAGCAAUUGAAGGCAUGGCCUGACGCGUCGGGUGGAAGAAUUGGGAAUAUUUUAAGUGUUUUGUCCCAUCUAUAAAAGGAAAAAUUCAAGAUAAUUUUGGGGACGUUUGGUGAAGCAUAGGAGCGGCGGAAAAGCAGAAAUUUCUCUCUUUUAGGGUUCUUAAAUAUUUUUUUAAAUUUCUUUACUGGAAGACUUGUUGGGGGUAUGAUUUAUUACUUAUUUUGGAUGAUGAAUUCAAACAUGAGUAGCUAAAAACCCUAUUUCUGGGGUUGAGGCUAAGAACAUGAUUACUCUUUAAUAUUCUUAUUCAUAGUUUCUUUUUGGAUUAUCAUCUGGGUUGUUCUUAAUUUCUUGAGCUUACUAUUUUAAUAAUUGGCCAUCAUUAGAAUAAAUCUAUAUUUCUAUAUGCAUCCGGGAGGAGAAUCAUAGGAUAGAACGAAGAAAUUAGGGAGCAAGGCUCUUAUUCUUUUAUGAAAUAAAGGAUUUGAAUUAGCAUCUAGGAUAGGGAUAUACCUAGAAGCCUUGCUUGGUUCACUUGCAAGAAGACAACAUAAAUCUAGAAGAAUUGUUGUAUCUCUGCCGGAGUUGUAGCUACAACAUUCAAUAGAUAAAAGAUUUGAGGUUGGGAGAUCAUGAUCGUUGCAUAAACCUUGCGAAUCAUCAACCUGAUAACCAAUUAGAAUGUGAUGAGAAUAGAGAAUUGUAUGAUUGUUCAAAAUACCUCAACCCUGGAAUCAUCUUCAUUAUUGAUUACAACCGUUGCUUUCUUUGCUCUAGUCGAUACUAAUUAUUUCUUGUUUAGUAAUUUACAUUUUAUUUAUAGAAUUAAAACCAUCUUGAUACCAUUAAGCACUUAAUACCUAAUUGUCUUAAACUAAAGAUUAAAUAAAUUUCUAGUUUAUUGAUCCUCGUGGGAACGAUAUUUGACUGUCUAAGUCAUUAUAUGACUUGUACGAUCGCGUACACUUGCGUGUGCAUAGAGACGCAACAAGUUUUUAGCGCCAUUGCCGGGGAUCAAAUUGAAUUAGUAAAUUGUUUAAUUUUUUUUUGAUAAUAACUUUAAGUAUUAACAACUUGAUCUUAGUGGUUGAAUUUUUGCAGGUUUAGCUGAACAUUGGACUGGCUAGGGAUAACGAGUUAGUAUAGCCCUUUGCAGAACCAGAAGUAAUUUUCAUCAAAGGCGAAGAGCUCAAUACUACAUUCAAUAGGGAUAGAUGGCUAAAAUACGAGAUCCUAUUAUUGGAAAUGUUCCAGCUCCUGUUAUUCCAGUUAUUCCUAUUCAACCAGUCACAAGACCUGUUCUUGAGGAGACAAUCCCACUUACAAAUCUCGUGACUAACAGCAUUCAGAAGCCUAAAAAAGAAGGUCGGUGGGAAUUGAAACAAAAAAUGGUGCAAUUAUUAAAAUCGACGGGGGAAUUUCACGGACUUUCACACGAGGAUCCACAACAGCACUUACAGACCUUCUUGGAAAUAAGCGAUACAUAUAUUCCUGAAGAUGUGAAUGUUGAUUAUAUCAAAUUGACAUUCUUUCCCUUUUCUCUAAUGGGGGAAGCAAAGAGAUGGUUACAUGCUGAACCACAUCAAUCCAUCACUUCAUGGGAAGAUUAUGCUCGGAGGUUCCUCAUUCAGUUUUUUCCAUCCCAGAAGAAUGCAUGAUUGAGGAGUGAGAUAUUGAGUUUCAGACAAAAAGAUGGAGAAAAUCUCUACCAAGCUUGGGAGAGAUUCAAGGGCAUGCUCAGAAAUUAUCCUCAUCACCAUCAAUCGAAUGAUUUUUUGGUUCACACAUUUAUAGAAAGCCUUGAGUCUAAUACAAAGAUCCUCUUGGAUUCAGCAGCAGAGGGCCAAGAUUUGGAGAAAAUAUAUGAAAACUGUAUACCUUGCUAAAUUGAAUUGUACAAGGGAAUCCUGAUUGGCAUGCAGACUCAAGGAGUGUUCCCAAGAAGGUUGCAGGGGUUUUGGAGGUUGAUCAGUUCACUGCAUUACAAGCACAGAUUGCAGCAAUGCAGAAUAAUAUGACUACUCAGCUUAACAACUUGAAGUUAGGUGCAACACAACCAGUUGCCACAGUAAAUACAGUUCAAUAGGAAUAUUCAUGGUGUGAAGUUUAUGGAAGUGAAGAGCAUAAAACAGAUGCAUGUUCUGUUAAUCCAGAUUCAGUCAACUAUGUGGGGAAUGCAAACCGCCAGGUUCAAUAGAAUUUUGGCAGUACGUAUAAUCCAAAUUGGAGGAACCACCCUAAUUUCUCAUGGGGUGGAAAUCAGGCACAGAAUACAAAUCAGUAUAAGGGACCAGUACAAUCAAAUCCAUAAUCAGUUCAGAAUAAUCAGGCGACUACUCAUUAUAGUAAUGUGGAGGAGUUGAUUAAAUAGUUUAUGGCUCAACAAGCAUAGGUUGCGGUAGACAUAAAGGAUCAACAGGCACAGUUUGCAGCUGAGUUGAAGAGUCAACAAUUGCUCACAAAAAAUCUGGAGUUGCAGUUGGCUCAAAUUGUAAGAUCACAAAAUAAAAGGCCACUAGGAGUAUUGCCUAGCGAUACUGAGGCUAAUCCUAAACAGGUGAAUGUAGUUAUAACAAGGAGUGGACAUAAAACUAAGGAGACGGUUCAGGAGUAGGAUAAUCCUGCAGUCAUUGUUGACAGUUUGCGAGAGAAUGCAGAAGUAGAAGUCAAGGAAAAAGAGGUAGGUGAAGAGAUUUGUGUGGAGAAGAAGACUAUCCCCUUACCCUUUCCUCAAAGGGCAAGGAAGCAUCAAGAGGAAUCCAGUUUUAAGAAGUUUCUAGAUCUUCUGAAACAAGUUCAAGUAAACCUUCCUCUUGUUGACAUUCUGCAGAGUGUGCCGAAAGAUGCUAAAUACUUGAAGGAUAUUAUUGUACAUAAGAAUCGGUUGACUGAAUAUGCUACAGUUGCACUUACUCAAGAGUGCACAUCUAAAAUUCAAAAUAAACUGCCCACGAAGUUGAAGGAUCCAGGUAGUUUCACCUUGCAGAUUACCCUUGGUCAGACUAUUUGUGCACAUGGAUUGUGUGACUUGGGUGCUAGCAUAAAUCUCAUGCCCACUUCAUGAUACUGGAAGAUGGGUCUUGGGAGUCCCAAACCCACGACUAUUGUGUUGCAGUUGGCAGAUAGUUCACUUGUUAGACCAGAUGGUAUUAUUGAAGAUGUAUUGGUGCAAGUGGGAUCUUUAAUCUUUCCGGUGGAUUUUGUGAUUCUUAACUUUGAGGCUGAUCUAGUUGUUCCAUUUAUUUUGGGACGACCCUUCUUAGCAAUAGGACAGUCACUUAUUGAUAUGGUAGCUAGAAAAUGACAAUGCGAGCUCACGAUAAAGUAGAGGUUUUUGAUGUGUACAGAGCAUUGAAACUACUAGCCAUAUAUGAGGAGUUGUCUUCUAUAUCGAUUGUUGAUCUUGCUCUGGAUUGGUAGCUGCUUUUGUCUGAUGAUCCAUUAGAGCGAACUUUGAUGGAUUAUGAUCUGUAUGAAGAUGUGGAAGCAUUGGAAUUGGUCCAGGUUAUAAAUUUGGCUAUAAUCGAGACAAACAAAGUAUUGAUUGAGCCUUUGAAUAUACCAAUUGGUCCACCACGCUCUUAACUUGGAGCUUAAGGUUCUUCCUCCUCACUUGCAAUAUUUUUUUCUUGGUGAUCAAGAUACCUUACCUGUUAUUUUAUCUAUAGGAUUAUCAGAUGUACAAGUAAAGAAAGCUGUAGCGGUUCUCAAGAGGAGAAGAAAGGCGAUUGGCUGGCAGAUGUCUGACAUUUUAGGAAUCAAUCCAGCAUUUUGCAAGCAUAAUAUUUACAUAGAAGAGGGGUACAGACCUAGAGUACAGCAACAACGAAGGUUGAAUCCUGUGAUGAAGGAAGUGAUCAGGAAAGAAGUUAUCAAGUGGUUAAAUAGUGGUAUUGUUUAUCUAAUUUCCGAUAGCAAAUGGGUGAGUUCGGUGCACUGUGUACCCAAGAAAGAAGGAAUGGCAGUAGUGACCAAUGAUGAUAAUGAGUUAUUUCCCAUAUAUACAGUGACCGGUUGGAGAAUAUGUAUAGAUUAUCAGAUGUUGAAUAAAGCAACUCGUAAAGAUCACUAUUCAUUUCCCUUCAUUGAUCAAAUGCUGGAUAGAUUGGCGGGGCAAGAGUAUUAUUGUUUUCUGGAUGGGUACUCUGUCUACAAUCAGAUAAGCAUAGCAUCGGAAGACUAAGAGAAGACCACGGUCACUUGUCCAUACGGUACAUAUGCGUUCAGACGCAUGCCCUUCGGCUUAUGUAAUGCACCUGCUAUAUUUUAGAGGUGUGUGAUGACGAUAUUUUUAGACAUGGUGGAAGAAUUUGUGGAGGUAUUCAUGGAUGAUUUCUCUGUGUAUGGUAAUUCAUUUAAAAAGUUUUUGCAAAAUCUCGACAAAGUUCUAGCUCGAUGCGAAGAAACAAACUUGAUGUUGAAUUCAAAAAAGUGCCAUUUUAUGGUUGAGGAAAGAAUUUUCUUAGGCCACAAAGUGUCAUGCAAAGGUAUGGAAGUGGACAAAGCAAAGGUGGAAGUGAUUGAAAAGUUUCCUCAUCCAGUCACAGCCAAGGGAGUGCGGAGUUUUUUGGGACAUGCUGGGUUCUAUAGACAAUUCAUUCAAGAUUUCUCAAAGAUUGCAAGUCCCAUGUACAAAAUAUUAGAAAAAGAAGCCAAGUUCGAGUUCGCGGCUAAUUUCCAUGAAGCUUUUGAAAAGCUUAAGAAGAAGUUGACGGAAGCACCUAUUUUGAUCACACCAGAUUGGGAGUUACCUUUUGAGCUGAUGUGUGACGCUAGUGACAUUACAGUGGGAGCAGUGUUAGGUCAGAGAAAAGAGAAGGUAUUUUGAUCGAUCUACUAUGGUAGCAAGGUGCUGAAUGAUGCUCAAGUUAACUACACAGUUACAGAGAAAGACAUAUUGGAUGUGGUAUAUGCAUUCAACAAGUUUCGAUCUUACUUAGUUGGUACCAAGGUCAUUGUUCAUACAGACCAUGCUUCCGUUAAGUAUCUUGUGAACAAAAAGGAUGCAAAUCCACGACUAAUUAGGUGGAUUCUUCUACUUCAAGAAUUUGAUCUUGAGGUGCGAGAUAGAAAGAGAGCUGAAAAUCAAGUUGCUGAUCAUUUGUCAUGGCUGGAAAAUCGAGACCAUAUUGUGGAUGACUUUCUGAGUAUUAAGGAAGAUUUUUCUGCUGAGAAGUUAUUGUCAUUAGAUGCAGUUGUGUUCCCAUGGUAUGCUAACAUUGUGAACUUGAUAGCUUGUGAGGUGUACCCUCCCGAAAUCACCAUACAACAAAGAAAGAAAUUACUCCAUGAUUAUCGUGCUUACAUUUGGGAUGAACAGUACCUUUUCAAGCAGGGUCCAGAUGGAGUGAUUUGUAGGUAUAUUUCAGAGGCUGAAUUCUCAAAGGUUUUACAAGAUUGCCACUCAUCUCCAUAUGGUGGACAUUAUGGGGGAGAGAGGACUGCAAGAAAAGUGUUGCAAUCAGGUUUUUUCUGGAUGACUCUAUUUAGAGAUGCAGUGGCUUUUGUAAAGAAUUAUGAUCAAUGUCAAAGGUUGGGUACUAUAUCUAGGCUUCAUGAGAUGCCCCUCAAUAAUAUUGUAGAAGUAGAAGUCUUUGAUGUUUGGGGGAUCGAUUUCAUGGUCCCAUUCCCACCUUCGAAAGGUAAUCUAUACAUUAUUAUAGCGGUUUAAUAUGUCUCUAAAUCGGUGAAAGCUAUGGCGAGUCCGACUAAUGAUGCAAGAGUGGUGCUGAAGUUUUUGAAGAACAUAUUUUCCAGAUUUGGUACGCCAAGAGCAAUAAUUAGUGAUGGAGGUACGCACUUUAUCAAUACCUGGUUCAAAAAUCUUCUUGCUAAGUAUGGUGUUAGGCACAAGGUUGACACUGUGUACCAUCCUCAAACGAGUGAACAAGUAGAGGUAUCCAAUCGGGAGAUUAAGCAAAUACUUCAGAAAACCGUGAAUGGUCAGAGAAAAGGUUAGGCGGAGAAGCUAGAUGAUACAUUUUGGGCAUAUAGAACAGCGUACAAGACGCCUAUUGGGACAUCUCUAUAUCGCUUGGUGUAUGGUAAGGUGUGUCAUCUUUCAGUAGAGUUGGAACACUAAGCAUAUUGGGAACACCAAGCAUAUUGGGAGGUGAAGAAGCUGAACUUUGAGAUGACUGUUGCGGGGGAAAGAAGGUUAUUGCAACUGAAUAAGCUUGAGGAGUUUAGACUCCACGCCUAUGAAAAUACCAAGCUUUACAAGGAAAAGACCAAAAGAUGGCAUGACAAGCAAAUUCAAGUUAGGGAAUUUGAACCUGGACAACUUGUGUUGUUGUUUAAUUCACGGCUUAAGUUGUUUCCGGGUAAAUUACGAAUGAAGUGGUCUAGACCUUUUGAAGUGGAGCGUAUGACACCCCAUGGAGCUGUGGAGUUAUGGAAUAAAUAGAAGACAGAGAAGUUCCUUGUGAAUAGACAGCGUGUAAAGCAUUAUUGGGCAGAUCAUCCGGAUAAGCACAAGGAAUCCAUCACUUUUGCUGAUGAAUGACGAUGAGCUAAGUCGUGCCACAACGUAAAAUAAGGCGCUAUGUUGGAGGCAACCCGCACAUGUAUUGUAAUAGGUAGUUUAUUUUUUAGAUUGUAAAAUCAAAACGAAAAGAAAAAUACAAAAAGAUGAGUUGUGCCACGACCAAAACUAAGGUGCUGAGUGGAAGGCAACCCACUUUUACUUACAAUUUUUGUUGUUUUUGUUUAAGAUUGCAGGGAAUUUCAAAGUGAAAAUGAGGAUAUUGCUACAAUUGAGGAAAGCAAUCAGGUUUGCAAAAUAAUAUGUUUAAGUGGGAAUUUUCUCAGGUAAGAAAAAAAUGAAAAUUACAAAAGAAAAUCUAAUUUUGAAGAAUGGCACAACGCGGAACUGGGUAUUUUGAGAAUUGUCAAAUUCCAGGAAGGAUCUGCGAUUUCCAUCGCGAUGCGAAGAAGGGUAAUUUGACAAUUGUCAAAUUCCACUAGCCUGUCGCGAUUUUCAGCGCGAUGCGUAACUUGGAAAAUUGACAAUUGUCAAUUUACAAUGUCUUAACGUGAAAGUUAGCGCAUCGCGGUAGGUAGUUAAAUGGCAAUUGGCAUUUUCCAGUAGGUCUACACGAUACUACCGCAUCGUGGAGGGGGUUAAAUCGAAAAUAAAUUUUGAAUUUAAGCUAACCCGACCCGACCCUCCAUAAAUAUCCCCUCAAAACCCUAAACCCUCUUAUUUCCCCCUCAAGCGCCGGAUUCUCAACCUUUCUCCUAAAACCUUCUAAAAUUUUCCCAAAUUCUCAUCCCUUUUUCAACCUUUAAGGAAUAAUGGAACCACAACCAAGCAAGGGGAAGGCAAAGGCAAUUAGUGGAGUAGUUGAUCCUUCACCUAAACAUCCGACUAUUAGUGGAGUAGGACACUAAGGGCAAGCUUAUGGUUUUUUUACUAGCAUGUACGAAUUCUUUGUUGAGAGCGAGUGAUUUGAUGUUGAUACUCUUCUAUUUUUGCAUAGAUAUCAGUGUGAGUUAAUAUGGGGAAAUUUUCUUGAGUGGGGAUGUAGGCAGAUGAAAGCCGGGUUACUUAUUGAGUUUCUUUGAUUGAGUUUGCCGACAUGUUAGAAAUUCAUUAUUGAGACAAAAAAAAAUUGUACUAAAUUGUCUCAUAUUGCUAAAAAUUAUUUUGACAAGAUGAUGUAAGAAUACACUAGUACAAAGUGUAAGUACCCAUUGCAACAUAACUUUGAGAUUGUGAUGUAAAGAGGAAGUAAUAAUGUUUUUGAAUUCAUAUGUUCAAGGACGAAUAAGGUUUUAAGUGUGGGGUGGUGAUCUUGGGCAUAUUUGUAUGCUCAAAGCACCAAUAUGAACCAAGAUUUAGACUUAGUUCAAGAACUUUUGUAUGAAUUCUUAAGUAUAAUUCAGCCUUUAUUCUGUUUCGUGCCUAAUGGAUAUGAUUAGUACUUUCAGGUAAAAAAUCAUUGAAGAAUUGUGUGCAUUUGGAUACAACGAUGAUAUGGAAGGAUUGAAGGAAUGCAAGGGAGUGAAAUAAAGCUAAAAUACAGAAGCUAGAAAGUAGGAAUCCUCAUUUGAAGACACACCGCGUCGCGCUGACCAACAAAAUAGCAAUGGUCAAAUUCCAGUGAAGGUCCGCAAAACCACCGCGUCCCAGAGCAGUUCCACUUAUCAUAUUUUGCGACCUGAAAGUUUAGCACGUUGGAGGAUGAACAUUUCACAAUUGACCCAAUCCAGUGGCUCACCGAGAUAGUGGUGCGUUGCGGUGAGGGUACAUUUUACAAUUGUCAAGGAAUAAUUGAGCUCCACGAUUUUCUAGAUUUUAAUGAAAAAUAGCAAUUGAAGGCAUGGAGCGACGCACCGGGAGGAAGAAUCGGGAAUAUUUUAAGUGUUUUGUCCCAUCUAUAAAAGGAAAAAUCCAAGAUAAUUUUGGGGACAUUUGGUGAAGCAUAGGAGCGGCGGAAAAGCAGAAAUUUCUCUCUUUUAGGGUUCUAAAACAUUUUUUUUAAAUUUCUUUACUGGAAGACUUAUUGGGGGUAUGAUGUAUUACUUAUUUUGGAUGAUGAAUUCAAACAUGAGUAGCUAAACACCCUAUUUCUGGGGUUGAGGCUAAGAAGAUGAUUACUCUUUAAUAUUCCUAUUCAUAGUUUCUUUUUGGAUUAUCAUCUUGGGUUGUUCUUAAUUUCUUGAGCUUACUAUUUUAAUAAUUGACCAUCAUUAGAAUAAAUCUAUAUUUCUAUAUGCAUCCGGGAGGAGAAUCAUAGGAUAGAACGAAGAAAUCAGGGAGCAAGGUUCUUAUUCUUUUAUGAAAUAAAGGAUUUGAAUUAGCAUCUAGGAUAGGGAUAUACCUAGAAGCCUUGCUUGGUUCACUUGCAAGAAGACAACAUAAAUCUAGAAGAAUUGUUGUAUCUCUGCGGGAGUUGUAGCUACAACAUUCAAUAGAUAAAAGAUUUGAGGUCGGAAGACCAAGAUCAUUGCAUAAACCUUGCGAAUCAUCAACCCGAUAACCAAUUAGAAUGUGAUAAGAAUAGAGAAUUGUAUGAUUGUUCGAAAUACCUCAACACUGGAAUCAUCUUCAUUAUUGAUUACAACGGUUGCUUUCUUUGCUUUAGUCGUUACUAAUUAUUUCUUGUUUAGUAAUUUAUAUUUCAUUUAUAGAAUUAAAACCAUCUUGAUACCCUUAAGCACUUAAUACCCAAUUGUCUUAAACUAAAGAUUAAAUAAAUUUCUAGUUUAUUGAUCCUCGUGGGAACGAUAUCUAACUGUCUAAGUCAUUAUAUGACUUGCACGAUCGCGUACACUUGCGUGUGCAUAGAGACACAACAUUAUGGGAAGAUUUGGAGCAAGUUGCCUCUAAUACUAGUAAUCCAUGGCUUGUUGGGGGUGAUUUUAAUGUUAUUUUGGAUGAUUCUGAAAAACUUAGAGGUCUUCCGGUGACACAACAGGAGACUCUUGAUUUUGCUCAAUGUAUGAAUAAUUGUGUAUUGAACGAAUUAAGAUUCACACGAAGCAGAUUCACUUGGUGGAAUGGAAUAAUUCAAGAGGAUUGCAUUUUUAAGAGGUUAGAUAGGUAAUUAUGAACUUUUACAGGCUAUGCCUAAUUGUGAAGUGAAUCAUCUUAUCAGGCAAGGUUCUGAUCAUGCACCACUUCAUGUCAUUGGAAAUACUGUACAGGUACAUGUCAAAAAAAAAAAUUUAGGUUCUUGAACUUGUGGACCAAGCAUAAAUAUUUUCAGGGAAUAGUGCAACAAACUUAGAGUGAAAAUUUUCAAGGGUCGCCUUUCCAAAUAGUGCAUGAGAAAUUGAAAAAGAAGAAAUCAGUAUUUGUUGUCUAGAGUAGGGAGACUUUUGGGGGUAUUUUCCAAAAGGUAGAAACUUUGGAGGAUGUAAUAAAAUCAAAGGAAGCAUAAUUUGAGAUACAACCAACUGCAGAAAAUAGAGAGAAGUUGAGUAAAGCAGAGGCAGAUUUAAAAAGAUUGAGGAAAAUAAAGAAAGAGUUUUGGAAACAAAAGACAGGGAUAAAGUGGUUUACUGAUGGGGAUAGAAAUACUAAAUUCUUUCAUUCUUAUGUGAAAGGUAGAAGGAGAAGGCUGCAAGUUACAGAAAUCCAGACAAGACAGAAGGAUAUUAUCAUAUCACCACAGAACAUUGGGGAUGAGGCCAUACAGGUCUUCAUGGAGCAAUUUAAAAAGAACUACGUGACUAAUAAAUAUGAGAUGAUAGGGUGUAUUAACAAAAGUAUUAUAGAUGAGAAAAACAAUAGAAUGGAAAGCUUACCAAACAUAGAGGAAAUUAAGAAGGUUGUUUUUUCUUUAAAUGGGGAAAGUGCGGGAGGAAAAGAUGGUUUUUUAGGGAAUUUUUUUCAGUCUUGCUAGAAUACAGUGGGGGAGUAUAUUACAAAUAUGGUUAAGGCAUUUUUUUAUGGAAGUGAGUUACCAAGGUACAUCACUCACACAAAUCUAGUUCUGAUUCCAGAGAAAGAAGUAGUGAGUACUUCUGGUGAUCUCAGACCUAUCAGUCUUGACACUUUUGUUAAUAAAAUCAUAUCCAAAUUGAUUCAUAUGAGAAUUGUGGAGGUGCUUCCUAAUAUUAUUUCUAGUAAUCAGGCUGUUUUUGUUAAGAGAAGAAGCAUAAAAAAAAAUGUUUUGCUAGCUCAAGAGAUUAUUAGGGAUAUAAAUAGAAAGAAUAAACUACACAAUGUGGUGGUAAGAUUGGGUAUGGCAAAGGCUUAUGAUAGAGUUUUCUGAAAGUACUUGGUAGAGAUAUUGAGAAAAUUUGAUUUUUCUGAAAGGAUAAUUGACAUGGUAGUCAGAAUUAUUAGUAAUAAUUGGAAUUCAGUGCUUUUGAAUGGCCAGUCCUAUGGUUUCUUUUAGUCCUCAGGAGGGUUAAAGCAAGGGGAUACUCUAUCACUUAUGUUGUUUAUUAUUUUAGCUGAAGUGUUAGCAAGAAGUCUAAAUGGCUUGUUUGAGGAUCCAUAUUUUAUAGGAUAUGGAAUGCCUAAGUGGAGUCCUGAUAUUAACCAUUUAUCAUAUGCAAAUGACACUAUUCUCUUUUGCUCUGGACAUGCAACAUUAAUGAAGAAAAUGAUGGCAGGUUUGAGAAGAUAUGAAUUUACCUCAGGUCAAAUGAUUAAUCUUGAUAAAAGUUUUUUUUAUUUGCAUGAUAAGACUCCAAUAAAUAUGGCCAACAAUAUGAAGAGAAUAACUAAGAUAAAUCAAGGUAAGUUUCCUUUCACUUACUUGGGUUGUCCUAUUUUCUAUGGUAGAAAGAAUAAGGCACAUUAUGAGGAGUUAAUGAAGAAGGUGAUGAAGAGGUUAAAUUCUUGACAAAAUAGACUUUUGUCUUAUGGGGGAAGGUGCACUCUUAUUGCACAUAUGUUGCAGUCUAUGCCCAUGUAUAUUUUAUCUACUAUGAACCCUCCUGUAAGUGUAAUUAAUCAAUUACACAAGAUUUUUGCCAAGUUUUUUUUGACGUAAUGCUACUAGAUAAAAAACUAAGCAUUGGGAGUCUUGGGAUCUAAUGUGUUAUCCAAAAAUGAGGGGGGUUUGAAUUUUAGAUCUUUACAUGUGAUAUGUCCAAGGCACUUUACAAAAAUGUGGUGGAAUUUUAGAACUUUCACAUCUUCUAUGUGGAGUUCAUUUAUGUGGAAUAAAUACUGCAUAAAGUUCCAGCCUUUACUGACUAAGGGAAUUGAAGAAUCACAUGUUUGGAGGAAAAUAAUUGCUAUAAGAGAAGAGGUUGAUCAUCUCAUUUGGUGGCAGGUUACAGUUGGGAACUCAAAUUUUUGGUAUGAUAAUUAGACCAACCAUGGUGCUUUAUAUUAUGUGGAAGGAGAGAUUUUUCAAGAUGAAGAAAUAGAGGUGAAGCCCUUUAUCAGAAAUGGAGAGUGGGAUAGGCAAAGGUUAUUAUCAAUGUUAUCGGAAUAGAUGGUGGAGCUAAUUCUUUAGAUAGUAAAGCCUAAGGUUGAAGGGUAUCAUAAUGAUAGACCAUGGUGGAUGGGAAAUACAAAUGAUCAAUUUUUGGUGAAAUCUACCUGGGAGAUAAUCAAGAAAAAAAAAAGAGAAAAGAAGAGAUUUUGAUUAUAUUUGAAAUAAAGGUCUACCUUUCAAAUAUAAUUUCUUCUUAUGGAGAGUAUGGCUUAGAUGGAUCCCUACGGAUGAUAAUUUGAUAAAAAUGAGGAUUUAUUUGGUAUCAAGAUGCUAGUAUUGUGAGGACAAAAAGGAGGAAAUUAUGUCACAUAUUUUAAUAACAGCUCCCAUAGCUUUAAAGUUGUGAAGGCAGUUUGCUUAUUUUGCAAGGACCAGGGUGGACAAUGUACAACUUCAACAGAUGAUUGUGUCAUGGUGGACAAAGGAAUCAACACUAAAACUCAACAGCAUCUGUAAAGCCGUACCAUCCAUAAUCAUGUAGACCUUAUGGAAAAGGAGAAAUUCUCUUUAAAAUGGAGGGUUCAUUUCUUGUAAGGAGAUGAUAAUACAGAUACAAGAAGUGAUAAAGAAACUGACCAAGAAUCUUUAUCCUUGGAUAAAACUCUAGAACUGGACAUGGCCAGAGGUGAUGGACACUAUGAGCACAUACAAACCACAACUUCAUUAUCAUCAAGUGGUAUGAAAAAAGCCUAAGCAUUUACAACUAAAAUACAAUACGGAUGGAGCAUGUAGAGGAAAUUCGGGGAUGAGCUCAUAUGAUUUUUACAUCAGAGAUGAAAGAGGAGACCUGGUAUAUGCAAGAGCUAAGGGAUUGGGACUUGAAAAAAAUACAGAAGAUGAAUCUAUUGCUAUUAAGGAAGCCAUAGAAUACUGCCAUGACAAACUUUAUACAAAGUUCAUCAUAGAGACAGAUUCUCUAAGUCUUAAGCAAGCGAUUCUAAGGUAAUGGAAAAUUCCUUGGGAACUUAUUGGUGCCAUUGAGGAUAUUAGGAUUCUACUUCAGCAAUUACAAGCUACUGUUGCUCAUAUACUUAGAGAAGGCAACUCAGUGGCUGACUCUUUGGCAAAUGAAGUAAUAGAGACACAAGACAUGCAAGAAUACCACUCAUACCAACAGCUAACAGUGAAAACCAGGCGGCUUCUAAACAUUGACAAGGAUCAAAUUCCACAUAUCAGGAUCAGGACAAGGACAAUAGUUUAGCAAUAAUCAACAUAGUAGCAUGCAUAUGUAAAAAUCUAACAGAGUGCAACAGGUAGCAACAAUAACAGAGGAAAUUAAAGAGCAAAGAAAAAAGGGUUUAACAGUAUGCCUGGAAGAUCACCAAAAGGGAGGGAUAGGGAGAUGGUCCAGCAUCUGGAAAGAUGGUCUUUUGUGGACCCAAGACCACCUAACGAAAAACGAAAGGAAGAUUUUAGUUUUGAAAACAUAGAAGAAGAUCUUACAAAUGCAACAUUUCUCACCUGAGAAGAGUGAAGCUGAUAUUAAGAAUUCGACUAAGAUUCACCAUGGAUUUAGCUUGAACACCACCCAAAGAAGAAGGGAACAGAGCUUCGAGUUCCAAUGGCAGCAAUCAGGGACCACUCUUGAAGAUGACAAUGUCAAGGAAAAGUGGAAAAUGAUGUGUAUAGUUGUCUUUAAACUUAUCUAUAUUAGACAAAAAGGAGUCUUUUCAGCUCCCUUGUCUUGUGGAUCAGCUCUUGGAUCCGAUUGUGUGUAAUUUUAAGCAUUUAGGCCCUUUUAAAUAAAAAGACCUUAAAGGCC